This 460-nucleotide ribosomal RNA is filed under the name uncultured bacterium. RNAcentral's name for it is "partial 16S ribosomal RNA". It matches the Rfam family "Bacterial small subunit ribosomal RNA", at positions 338 to 795 of the family's 1533-position model. The record is from RNAcentral.
CCUACGGGAGGCAGCAGUGAGGAAUAUUGGUCAAUGGGCGCGACCCUGAACCAGCCAAGUAGCGUGAAGGAUGACUGCCCUACGGGUUGUAAACUUCUUUUAUAAAGGAGUAAAGUGAGGCACGUGUGCCUUUUUGUCUGUACUUUAUGAAUAAGGAUCGGCUAACUCCGUGCCAGCAGCCGCGGUAAUACGGAGGAUCCGAGCGUUAUCCGGAUUUAUUGGGUGUAAAGGGAGCGUAGAUGGGUGGUUAAGUCAGUUGUGAAAGUUUGCGGCUCAACCGUAAAAUUGCAAUUGAUACUGGCAGGCUGGAGUACAGUUGAGGUAGGCGGAAUUCGUGGUGUAGCGGUGAAAUGCUUAGAUAUCACGAAGAACUCCGAUUGCGAAGGCAGCUUACUAAACUGCCACUGACAUUGAUGCUCGAAAGUGUGGGUAUCAAACAGGAUUAGAUACCCCGGUAGUC